GGUCCCAUAGCUCAGCUGGUUAGAGCACUUGACUCAUAAUCAAGGGGUCCUUGGUUCGAGCCCAAGUGGGACCA
This 74-nucleotide transfer RNA is filed under the name Flavobacteriaceae bacterium. RNAcentral describes it as "tRNA-Ile". It matches the Rfam family "tRNA". From Rfam's summary of the family: Transfer RNA (tRNA) molecules are approximately 80 nucleotides in length. Lineage: Bacteria; Pseudomonadati; Bacteroidota; Flavobacteriia; Flavobacteriales; Flavobacteriaceae. RNAcentral also lists the same sequence under 2 other names. The record is from RNAcentral.